RNAcentral lists this ribosomal RNA (376 nucleotides) under uncultured Klebsiella sp. Its description in RNAcentral is "bacterial SSU rRNA". It matches the Rfam family "Bacterial small subunit ribosomal RNA", at positions 523 to 898 of the family's 1533-position model. The record is from RNAcentral. Lineage: Bacteria; Pseudomonadati; Pseudomonadota; Gammaproteobacteria; Enterobacterales; Enterobacteriaceae.
AUACGGAGGGUGCAAGCGUUAAUCGGAAUUACUGGGCGUAAAGCGCACGCAGGCGGUCUGUCAAGUCGGAUGUGAAAUCCCCGGGCUUAACCUGGGAACUGCAUUCGAAACUGGCAGGCUAGAGUCUUGUAGAGGGGGGUAGAAUUCCAGGUGUAGCGGUGAAAUGCGUAGAGAUCUGGAGGAAUACCGGUGGCGAAGGCGGCCCCCUGGACAAAGACUGACGCUCAGGUGCGAAAGCGUGGGGAGCAAACAGGAUUAGAUACCCUGGUAGUCCACGCCGUAAACGAUGUCGACUUGGAGGCUGUUCCCUUGAGGAGUGGCUUCCGGAGCUAACGCGUUAAGUCGACCGCCUGGGGAGUACGGCCGCAAGGUUAAA